GAUGAACGCUGGCGGCGUGCCUAAUACAUGCAAGUCGAGCGAACGGACGAGAAGCUUGCUUCUCUGAUGUUAGCGGCGGACGGGUGAGUAACACGUGGAUAACCUACCUAUAAGACUGGGAUAACUUCGGGAAACCGGAGCUAAUACCGGAUGAUAUUUUGAACCGCAUGGUUCAAAAGUGAAAGACGGUCUUGCUGUCACUUAUAGAUGGAUCCGCGCUGCAUUAGCUAGUUGGUAAGGUAACGGCUUACCAAGGCAACGAUGCAUAGCCGACCUGAGAGGGUGAUCGGCCACACUGGAACUGAGACACGGUCCAGACUCCUACGGGAGGCAGCAGUAGGGAAUCUUCCGCAAUGGGCGAAAGCCUGACGGAGCAACGCCACGUGAGUGAUGAAGGUCUUCGGAUCGUAAAACUCUGUUAUUAGGGAAGAACAGAUGUGUAAGUAACUGUGCACAUCUUGACGGUACCUAAUCAGAAAGCCACGGCUAACUACGUG
RNAcentral lists this ribosomal RNA (497 nucleotides) under uncultured bacterium. Its description in RNAcentral is "partial 16S ribosomal RNA". It matches the Rfam family "Bacterial small subunit ribosomal RNA", at positions 28 to 507 of the family's 1533-position model. The record is from RNAcentral.